RNAcentral lists this long non-coding RNA (397 nucleotides) under Chrysemys picta bellii (western painted turtle). RNAcentral's name for it is "lncRNA (ENSCPBG00000018499.1)". The record is from RNAcentral. Lineage: Eukaryota; Metazoa; Chordata; Testudines; Emydidae.
GACUGCAGUGCCUCGGCCUCGCUGGGUAGUGCCACUGCUUGGAAGAGAGGGAGAGUCUGGAAGAGCCACCCCUACCCUUCACAAUUCAAGCACCAGCCUCAGUGGGCUAGGAGUAGAAUUGGGACUCCGGAGAGCCUGCACAAUGGAUACUGCACGGCUCGGCUCGAGCUGACCCAGGAUGGAGGCUUUGUGUUUCAAGCUGCAGCAGAACUGUGGGCACGUUGCCUGGUGCUUUGCUGUUUGAAUGGCAUCCCAGCCCAAGCUCUGUACUGCCAGCCCAGAAUGCUGUUGCAAAGAAUGGGAGGAGGAGGAGAGGAGAACAGGGCUCCAGAUAGUUGAAUCCUCCAUUUGAAGAAAGGUUAAUAAACACACAGAGCCAAAGUGUUACUAAGGGAUU